CUUUAGAUACCCGGGUAGUCCUAGCUGUAAACGAUGGAUACUAGAUGUAGGAACUGGAUUGACGGUUUCUGUAUCGUAGCUAACGCGUUAAGUAUCCCGCCUGGGGAGUACGGUCGCAAGACUAAAACUCAAAGGAAUUGACGGGACCCCGCACAAGCGGCGGAGCAUGCGGCUUAAUUCGAUGAUACCCGUAGAACCUUACCUGGACUUGACAUAUAGGGAAAAGCUAAAGAAAUUUAGUGUGCGUAAGCGCCCUAUACAGGUGGUGCAUGGCCGCCGUCAG
RNAcentral lists this ribosomal RNA (283 nucleotides) under uncultured bacterium. Its description in RNAcentral is "partial 16S ribosomal RNA". It matches the Rfam family "Bacterial small subunit ribosomal RNA", at positions 776 to 1058 of the family's 1533-position model. The record is from RNAcentral.